Molecule: ribosomal RNA, 499 nt
Filed under: uncultured bacterium
Lineage: Bacteria
Description: partial 16S ribosomal RNA
Rfam family: Bacterial small subunit ribosomal RNA
Source: RNAcentral
GACGAACGCUGGCGGCGUGCUUAACACAUGCCAGUCGAACGGGUCUGCCCUGUUUUUUGCGGGGUGGGUCAGUGGCGAACGGGUGAGUAACACGUGAGUAACCUGCCCCUCACUUCUGGAUAACCGCUUGAAAGGGUGGCUAAUACGGGGUGUUCUGGCUGUGCCGCAUGGUGUGGCUGGGAAAGAUUCACUUUUGUGGUGUUUUGGUGGGGGAUGGGCUCGCGGCCUAUCAGCUUGUUGGUGGGGUGAUGGCCUGCCAAGGCUUUGACGGGUAGCCGGCCUGAGAGGGUGGGCGGUCACACUGGGACUGAGAUACGGCCCAGACUCCUGCGGGAGGCAGCAGGGGGGGGUAUUGCACAAUGGGCGGAAGCCUGAUGCAGCGACGUCGCGUGAGGGAUGGAGGCCUUCGGGUUGUGAACCUCUUUCGCCGGUGAAGAAGGUCCUGCUCUUUGUGGUGGGGUUGACGGUAGCCGGGUUAUGAAGCGCCGGCUAACUACGU